Molecule: ribosomal RNA, 695 nt
Filed under: Proteus vulgaris
Lineage: Bacteria; Pseudomonadati; Pseudomonadota; Gammaproteobacteria; Enterobacterales; Morganellaceae
Description: bacterial SSU rRNA
Rfam family: Bacterial small subunit ribosomal RNA
Source: RNAcentral
GUGGCUUCUGGAGCUAACGCGUUAAAUCGACCGCCUGGGGAGUACGGCCGCAAGGUUAAAACUCAAAUGAAUUGACGGGGGCCCGCACAAGCGGUGGAGCAUGUGGUUUAAUUCGAUGCAACGCGAAGAACCUUACCUACUCUUGACAUCCAGCGAAUCCUUUAGAGAUAGAGGAGUGCCUUCGGGAACGCUGAGACAGGUGCUGCAUGGCUGUCGUCAGCUCGUGUUGUGAAAUGUUGGGUUAAGUCCCGCAACGAGCGCAACCCUUAUCCUUUGUUGCCAGCGCGUAAUGGCGGGAACUCAAAGGAGACUGCCGGUGAUAAACCGGAGGAAGGUGGGGAUGACGUCAAGUCAUCAUGGCCCUUACGAGUAGGGCUACACACGUGCUACAAUGGCAGAUACAAAGAGAAGCGACCUCGCGAGAGCAAGCGGAACUCAUAAAGUCUGUCGUAGUCCGGAUUGGAGUCUGCAACUCGACUCCAUGAAGUCGGAAUCGCUAGUAAUCGUAGAUCAGAAUGCUACGGUGAAUACGUUCCCGGGCCUUGUACACACCGCCCGUCACACCAUGGGAGUGGGUUGCAAAAGAAGUAGGUAGCUUAACCUUCGGGAGGGCGCUUACCACUUUGUGAUUCAUGACUGGGGUGAAGUCGUAACAAGGUAACCGUAGGGGAACCUGCGGUUGGAUCACCUCCUUA